GAUGAACGCUGGCGGCGUGCCUAAUACAUGCAAGUCGAGCGAACGGACGAGAAGCUUGCUUCUCUGAUGUUAGCGGCGGACGGGUGAGUAACACGUGGAUAACCUACCUAUAAGACUGGGAUAACUUCGGAAAACCGGAGCUAAUACCGGAUAAUAUUUUGAACCGCAUGGUUCAAAAGUGAAAGACGGUCUUGCUGUCACUUAUAGAUGGAUCCGCGCUGCAUUAGCUAGUUGGUAAGGUAACGGCUUACCAAGGCAACGAUGCAUAGCCGACCUGAGAGGGUGAUCGGCCACACUGGAACUGAGACACGGUCCAGACUCCUACGGGAGGCAGCAGUAGGGAAUCUUCCGCAAUGGGCGAAAGCCUGACGGAGCAACGCCGCGUGAGUGAUGAAGGUCUUCGGAUCGUAAAACUCUGUUAUUAGGGAAGAACAUAUGUGUAAGUAACUGUGCACAUCUCGACGGUACCUAAUCAGAAAGCCACGGCUAACUACGUG
This 497-nucleotide ribosomal RNA is filed under the name uncultured bacterium. Its description in RNAcentral is "partial 16S ribosomal RNA". It matches the Rfam family "Bacterial small subunit ribosomal RNA", at positions 28 to 507 of the family's 1533-position model. The record is from RNAcentral.